Molecule: ribosomal RNA, 218 nt
Filed under: Haidara producta
Lineage: Eukaryota; Metazoa; Arthropoda; Insecta; Hemiptera; Coreidae
Description: partial small subunit ribosomal RNA
Rfam family: Eukaryotic small subunit ribosomal RNA
Source: RNAcentral
CCUCCGAUGACUCGGCGGGGAGCUUUCCCCGGGAAACCAAAGCUUUUGGGUUCCGGGGGAAGUAUGGUUGCAAAGCUGAAACUUAAAGGAAUUGACGGAAGGGCACCACCAGGAGUGGAGCCUGCGGCUUAAUUUGACUCAACACGGGAAACCUCACCAGGCCCGGACAUUGGAAGGAUUGACAGAUCGAUAGCUCUUUCUCGAUUCAGUGGGUAGUG